UACAGAGGUCCCAAGCGUUGUUCGGAAUCACUGGGCGUAAAGGGUGCGUAGGCGGCGCGGAAAGUCAGGGGUGAAAUCCCGGAGCUCAACUCCGGAACUGCCUUUGAUACUCCCGCGCUUGAGAACUGGAGGGGAGACCGGAAUUCACGGUGGAGCAGUGAAAUGCGUGGAUAUCGUGAGGAACACUAGUGGCGAAGGCGGGUCUCUGGACAGUAUCUGACGCUGAGGCACGAAGGCCAGGGGGAGCGAACGGGG
RNAcentral lists this ribosomal RNA (255 nucleotides) under uncultured bacterium. RNAcentral describes it as "partial 16S ribosomal RNA". It matches the Rfam family "Bacterial small subunit ribosomal RNA", at positions 524 to 777 of the family's 1533-position model. The record is from RNAcentral.